Molecule: ribosomal RNA, 497 nt
Filed under: uncultured bacterium
Lineage: Bacteria
Description: partial 16S ribosomal RNA
Rfam family: Bacterial small subunit ribosomal RNA
Source: RNAcentral
GAUGAACGCUGGCGGCGUGCCUAAUACAUGCAAGUCGAGCGAACAGAUGAGGAGCUUGCUCCUCUGACGUUAGCGGUGGACGGGUGAGUAACACGUGGAUAACCUACCUAUAAGACUGGGAUAACUUCGGGAAACCGGAGCUAAUACCGGAUAAUAUAUUGAACCGCAUGGUUCGAUAGUGAAAGACGGUUUUGCUGUCACUUAUAGAUGGAUCCGCGCCGCAUUAGCUAGUUGGUAAGGUAACGGCUUACCAAGGCAACGAUGCGUAGCCGACCUGAGAGGGUGAUCGGCCACACUGGAACUGAGACACGGUCCAGACUCCUACGGGAGGCAGCAGUAGGGAAUCUUCCGCAAUGGGCGAAAGCCUGACGGAGCAACGCCGCGUGAGUGAUGAAGGUCUUCGGAUCGUAAAACUCUGUUAUUAGGGAAGAACAAAUGUGUAAGUAACUAUGCACGUCUUGACGGUACCUAAUCAGAAAGCCACGGCUAACUACGUG